RNAcentral lists this non-coding RNA (31 nucleotides) under Rattus norvegicus (Norway rat). Lineage: Eukaryota; Metazoa; Chordata; Mammalia; Rodentia; Muridae. The record is from RNAcentral.
UGCACUGUUGGAGCAACUGUAAUUUCAAUUU